UGAAUUUGCGAUGAGGAUUUUAAGCUCCCUCUUUGAGUAAUAUUGAGGACACUUGCUGGCAGAAUCGUACAAAUAAAAACUAGCCACCAUGAGCA
Capsicum annuum is the source of this 95-nucleotide non-coding RNA. The record is from Rfam. Lineage: Eukaryota; Viridiplantae; Streptophyta; Magnoliopsida; Solanales; Solanaceae.